RNAcentral lists this ribosomal RNA (253 nucleotides) under uncultured bacterium. Its description in RNAcentral is "partial 16S ribosomal RNA". It matches the Rfam family "Bacterial small subunit ribosomal RNA", at positions 524 to 776 of the family's 1533-position model. The record is from RNAcentral.
UACGUAGGGACCAAGCGUUGUUCGGAUUUACUGGGCGUAAAGGGCGCGUAGGCGGCGUGGUAAGUCAUCUGUGAAAUCUCCGAGCUUAACUCGGAACGGUCAGAUGAUACUGCUGUGCUAGAGUACAGAAAGGGCAAUCGGAAUUCUUGGUGUAGCGGUGAAAUGCGUAGAUAUCAAGAGGAACACCUGAGGCGAAGGCGGGUUGCUGGGCUGAUACUGACGCUGAGGCGCGAAAGCUAGGGUAGCAAACGGG